UUCCAGACUCCUACGGGAGGCAGCAGUGAGGAAUAUUGGUCAAUGGCCGAGAGGCUGAACCAGCCAAGUCGCGUGAGGGAUGACGGCCCUACGGGUUGUAAACCUCUUUUGCCGGGGAGCAAAGAGCGGGACGCGUCCCGCCUCGAGAGUACCCGGAGAAAAAGCAUCGGCUAACUCCGUGCCAGCAGCCGCGGUAAUACGGAGGAUGCGAGCGUUAUCCGGAUUUAUUGGGUUUAAAGGGUGCGUAGGCGGGCUUUUAAGUCAGCGGUAAAAAUUCGGGGCUCAACCCCGUCCGGCCGUUGAAACUGGGGGCCUUGAGUGGGCGAGAAGAAGGCGGAAUGCGUGGUGUAGCGGUGAAAUGCAUAGAUAUCACGCAGAACCCCGAUUGCGAAGGCAGCCUUCCGGCGCCCUACUGACGCUGAGGCACGAAAGUGCGGGGAUCGAACAGGAUUAGAUACCCGGGUAAG
This 467-nucleotide ribosomal RNA is filed under the name uncultured bacterium. RNAcentral's name for it is "bacterial SSU rRNA". It matches the Rfam family "Bacterial small subunit ribosomal RNA", at positions 329 to 794 of the family's 1533-position model. The record is from RNAcentral.